RNAcentral lists this ribosomal RNA (468 nucleotides) under uncultured bacterium. RNAcentral describes it as "partial 16S ribosomal RNA". It matches the Rfam family "Bacterial small subunit ribosomal RNA", at positions 28 to 507 of the family's 1533-position model. The record is from RNAcentral.
GACGAACGCUGGCGGCGUGCUUAACACAUGCAAGUCGAACGGAAAGGCCCUGCUUUUGUGGGGUGCUCGAGUGGCGAACGGGUGAGUAACACGUGAGUAACCUGCCCUUGACUUUGGGAUAACUUCAGGAAACUGGGGCUAAUACCGGAUAGGAGCUCCUGCUGCAUGGUGGGGGUUGGAAAGUUUCGGCGGUUGGGGAUGGACUCGCGGCUUAUCAGCUUGCUGGUGGGGUAGUGGCUUACCAAGGCUUUGACGGGUAGCCGGCCUGAGAGGGUGACCGGCCACAUUGGGACUGAGAUACGGCCCAGACCCCUACGGGAGGCAGCAGUGGGGAAUAUUGCACAAUGGGCGGAAGCCUGAUGCAGCAACGCCGCGUGCGGGAUGACGGCCUUCGGGUUGUAAACCGCUUUCGCCUGUGACGAAGCGUGAGUGACGGUAAUGGGUAAAGAAGCACCGGCUAACUACGUG